GACGAACGCUGGCGGCGUGCUUAACACAUGCAAGUCACGGGGGCCCGCAAGGGCAACCGGCGAACGGGUGCGUAACACGUGACCAACCUGCCCCUGUGUGGGGGGAUAGCCGGGCUAACGCCCGGGUAAUACCGCAUACGGUUCCCUGGGGGAGUCCCUGGGGAAAGAAAGCUCUGGCGCACGGGGGAGGGGUCGCGGCCUAUCAGCUAGUUGGCGAGGUAACGGCUCACCAAGGCGACGGACGGGUAGCUGGUCUGGAGAGGAUGGGCCAGCCACAUUGGGACUGAGAGACGGCCCAGACUCCUACGGGA
This 311-nucleotide ribosomal RNA is filed under the name uncultured bacterium. RNAcentral's name for it is "bacterial SSU rRNA". It matches the Rfam family "Bacterial small subunit ribosomal RNA", at positions 28 to 346 of the family's 1533-position model. The record is from RNAcentral.